Amblyraja radiata (thorny skate) is the source of this 105-nucleotide long non-coding RNA. RefSeq lists it as uncharacterized. Lineage: Eukaryota; Metazoa; Chordata; Chondrichthyes; Rajiformes; Rajidae. The record is from RefSeq and is a predicted model, not a curated record. The transcript is spliced from 3 exons.
AUUUAAGAGGGAUUUCAGUCAGAGGGUAGUCCAUAACUGGAAGGAGCUGCCAAAGGAAGCUAUAGAAGUGGAUGCAAUUACAACUCUUAAAAGACAUUUGGACAG